ACAAUUCAUUCUCUUCUCCAUCCUAUCUUACUCUAUUUUCCCGAUUACGGAAGUCAGUUCUAUUGGCCUCUCCAAACACUUCAGAUUCUUCACCUCCACACCACUCCUACUGACGUUCCCCGUCGCCGCCAAGAUGGUGAAGAUUUGAAGAAUUCCAUUUCUUCAACACGUUAGGCGAACAAUCGUUGAUUUCAGCAAAGGAAGCAUUCUUAAAUGGCCAGAUCCGUCCGGGUUUUCCCUUGUUUGACCGAGAUUUGCACCUGAUCCAGUCAGAUCGGAUUACUCUUCAUGUGGGGAAUCAGAGUUUGAUUAACACUGUAGCACAAACUCGAUGAUGGGGACACCCAGCGUUUGUAGCGCGUUUGGACCAGCUGGUGAGCUUCUAGAUUUUGAGUUUUGUUCUUUGAUGAGUUUCAAGGAUUUUAGUUUGGGAGGGAGGAUCGAUAGAGAUGUGGAAGGGCAGAAGCUGACUAAACUUUCAAAUUCAGGUGUCGAUUGUUUGAACAGGGGAGUAGAUGGGGUAGAUAAUAGUACAGUCUCUCGAGAUGCUAAAAGGAUGACUGGUAAAUUGGAUGGUUGGCUAAAUGUUGUUCAAGAGGGAAACGUGAAACAUAGUAAUGAUGGCUUUGAAGAGAUUUCUUUGGAAGCUUAGUCAGCAAGGGAUUACAGGCUGGGUGAAGGAACUAGAACCAGUAGGAAGCAGGGAGAGUGCCUAGUACAAACACUUCGUGAGACUCCGAUGUUAGAAGGACGACCGUGACGAGCUGGAUCGAGCCUGAUCUAAGGUAAUAAGUAUAAACUUAAGUCGACACGAAAUAGGCUCAGUUUAGUCUGAGAAAUAAGACUCGGUUACGAGCAAGUUACCAAGGGUGAGCAAGCAUGAAGACAGUGAAGGAGGGAUCAGUCUGAGGUUUCCGCCUUUGGAAGAUGGAACGACGUGCAUCCUGUAGGAUCAAGUGGAGGAAAGACCAGCAAGUCUUUAAUCGGGAGAUUGACCAUAUGGGUCUAUAAAAGUGACGGGUUAGCAGGACCGCUUGAUAUCACAGCAAGGGUGUUAGCACAGAGAGCUGAGACAUUGUGGGGCCAGAUCAUCCCACUCAGUGGGGUAGGAUUCAGGUUUCGGGAUGUAGCCUUUAGUAUGAGGGGAUAUUUGUGACACCCCGACUUUGGGUCGACUGUUAGAUCGAAUGCAUAGUUGAACGAACUGAGUUUUGGUCUGAUACGAGGGUCAUCACGGGCAUGACUAGUAGUCUGUCACGGGCGUCACCGUCAGAUAGACCACGAUCGUGGUCAACAGUUGGUCACGAGUGUGGUCAUUAGGAGAUCACGAACAUCGGCAUUAGUAGGUCGUAGGCGUAGUGACUAGGCAGUAACGGACGUGAUGAGCUUAUUAUAUAAGUCAGAGCAGCAACAUAGAAAUAGAGAGAAAACAAAAGAAAAUCUUCAGGCAACGAUUUCUUUCCGAGGAGAGGAAGGAGAUCGAUCAAGAUGAAAAUUAGAGCGGAUCGAUUUAGAAUUAGGGAUAGGAUUAGAGCGAGACUAGGAGAUUCUUGGGAAGGUAAUCAAUCCUCUUCUCCUCUCUUAAUCCUGUAGAUUGAAGCUCUUGUAAGACAACCUAACUGACAGGGUUUUGGAGAUUCAAUCAUUGAUUGGUCUAUUUAGGUCUAUCAGGACGGGAGGAUUGAAUUUCGGGCAGACGACUUCAAAUCAGACUCUUCGGGGAAAACUAUUUCAGAGGUGGAGGUUUAGGAUACUUUUCUGCUUUAAGCGUAGAACUAUAAUUAAUUGUCAGUAAUCCUUGUUUGAAUUUUUAGGACUGUACAGUAGCGUGUGAUCUACUAUACAGGUAGUGUGCCAUGCAGUUGAGUAUUUCAGGCUUUGUAGUAGCAUGUGAUAUACUGCACAGACAAUUGAUUAUGUUUCGAGUAUAAACUCACAUCGAGGACCUGUGCAUGUUCCACAGUUCAUGUUUAGGAUUAAGAAUCAGGACUAGAUAGACUAGCUCACGUUAUAUGUUGGUCACCCACCUCAUGGAUUACGCAAUCCACCAGGUUACAGUUCAAGCUCAGGCAGGACGUGUUGAGUAUGCCUACAGAUGCUACUCAAACGGUAUUCAGGGUGGUUUCAUGGUUUGAUCCACCAUGAGGCCAUCCGUUCAUAGCUAGGGGUAGCUAACGUUAGGAUGAUGCCUACAAUACCACAUGGCCACAUUAUUAGUUCAGUAAUUAGAUACACUUAUUGAUUCUAUCCCGGUAGAGGCUGUACAGUCCAGUGCAUGCAGUACAACUCAGUACAUAUAGUCUCAGUCAAGCUUAGUUCAGGCGCAGACUUAUCACCAGUCAGUUUCAGUUCAUUGCUUUACUUGAUUAGUCACUCAGUGCGUAUCAUUGGUCCUAUUAGAUAUUCUUUUCCUUGGUGUAUAUGUGUGUUCAGUUAUGGGUAUUUGAGCUGAUGGUGGGGAGAGAGCUGGUCGGGGUUUUGAUAUUAGUAGUAUCGUUUGAUGUAUUUUUCAGACUGGAGUUGCAUCUCCACUUGUCUUGUUUUCCGUAUGCAUUUAAGGAUUCAUAAUCCGUGUCGGUCAGUAUUAAAAGGGUUUAAUUAACAGUUUCAUGUUCAGUCUUAAUGUGUGCUUUAUGCUUUGCUUAGUAAUUGUGGGUGAGUUUGGUCCAAUUCGGAACUCGAGUAAAAUUUUUUUAUUGAACUUGUGGUUCGAUGGUGACUCUUUUUAGAGUGGGGUUUCACAAUAUUGUUGAAGAAAAUGAAGAUUUUUCAAGUAAGUUGGACUCGCAGAUGCUUUCGUAGAUUAACAUGGAGAAAGUAGGGUUAGAGAUAAAGGAAGAUGAGCUCUCAUGUAGAAAUGGGAAUUUCGAGGAUGACGAUGAUGAUUCAAUGUAUAGUUGUGGCGGGCGACAAAAAUUUUUCUUCUUCUUUCAUGGAUGGCUUAUCCAAGAAUUCUCCAUUUUCUUUCUAGCCUCUUAAAUCCAUC
RNAcentral lists this long non-coding RNA (2986 nucleotides) under Linum usitatissimum (flax). Its description in RNAcentral is "long non-coding RNA (LUSI_LNC003944)". The record is from RNAcentral. Lineage: Eukaryota; Viridiplantae; Streptophyta; Magnoliopsida; Malpighiales; Linaceae.